UUGGGUGGCCAUGGCGACGGGGCCCACCCCUUUCCAUUCCGAACAGGGAAGUUAAGCCCGUCUGCGCCGAUGGUACUGCCACUAGGUGGGAGAGUAGGCCGCCGCCUUCUUUGAAGACCUCUACAGCAAUGUAGGGGUCUUUUUUUUUGCCCUAUACUCAAC
Molecule: ribosomal RNA, 162 nt
Filed under: Zeaxanthinibacter enoshimensis
Lineage: Bacteria; Pseudomonadati; Bacteroidota; Flavobacteriia; Flavobacteriales; Flavobacteriaceae
Source: RNAcentral